This 594-nucleotide long non-coding RNA is filed under the name Brassica napus (rape). RNAcentral describes it as "long non-coding RNA (BNAP_LNC003497)". The record is from RNAcentral. Lineage: Eukaryota; Viridiplantae; Streptophyta; Magnoliopsida; Brassicales; Brassicaceae.
UUCAUCAGGUUUCUGAUGUUUCUGUUUAGUUUUUUUUUCUAAUUUCGUUUUAAGUUUAUCCGAAUCAUCCUAGCUUCUCUAAUCGUAAGGUUUCAGUCGAAUCAAAAAUUAUAGAUCGAUUUGUUUCAUCCUCCCCUCUUAGGUAGGGUUUAAUCAUCUUCAAGCUUACUUAUAUUUUAAAAGAUGAUUUGGUUUGUUUGUAAGGAUUUGAGACUUCCGUCUGGUGUUAAUUUGUUUGAUUCGAUUGAUUCGGGGAUUGAAGUUUCUGAAGCGUUGUUUUGGUUCCGUCUAUGCUGAAUCGUAAUCUAGUCGUAUCCGGCUUCUCUUCCCGUGCUUCUUGUCUCCGAUAUGUUUCCGGUGGAACGCCGGUUUGUUCAUCCGGCAAAGACUUACCUUUGGGCGAAGUUAGGUGACGUCUCCGCUCCAAAACAGGUGUUCUUCCUGUGUUUGGAAUUCUACAUGUGUGAGCUGUUAUGACUUGUCACAAUCUUCCAUCUGCGUACUUUUGUUAUUGGGCUUUGGGCCCCUAUGUAAUUUUAUGUUUGCCUUUUUAGGCCUGUUACUGUAUUUUGUCCAUGUUUAAUAUAAUACCAG